Molecule: ribosomal RNA, 484 nt
Filed under: uncultured bacterium
Lineage: Bacteria
Description: partial 16S ribosomal RNA
Rfam family: Bacterial small subunit ribosomal RNA
Source: RNAcentral
AUUGAACGCUGGCGGCAGGCCUAACACAUGCAAGUCGAGCGGAUGAAGGGAGCUUGCUCCUGGAUUCAGCGGCGGACGGGUGAGUAAUGCCUAGGAAUCUGCCUGGUAGUGGGGGAUAACGUCCGGAAACGGGCGCUAAUACCGCAUACGUCCUGAGGAAGAAAGUGGGGGAUCUUCGGACCUCACGCUAUCAGAUGAGCCUAGGUCGGAUUAGCUAGUUGGUGGGGUAAAGGCCUACCAAGGCGACGAUCCGUAACUGGUCUGAGAGGAUGAUCAGUCACACUGGAACUGAGACACGGUCCAGACUCCUACGGGAGGCAGCAGUGGGGAAUAUUGGACAAUGGGCGAAAGCCUGAUCCAGCCAUGCCGCGUGUGUGAAGAAGGUCUUCGGAUUGUAAAGCACUUUAAGUUGGGAGGAAGGGCAGUAAGUUAAUACCUUGCUGCUUUGACGUUACCAACAGAAUAAGCACCGGCUAACUUCGUG